GACGAACGCUGGCGGCGUACUUAACACAUGCAAGUCGAGCGGGAAACUUCGGUUUCCAGCGGCGGACGGGUGAGUAACACGUGGGCAACCUGCCUCACAAUGAGGGAUAGCCUUCCGAAAGGAAGAUUAAUACCUCAUAAUACAAGAGAAACGCAUGUUUCUCUUGCCAAAGAAUUUCGUGGUGAGAUGGGCCCGCGGCGCAUUAGCUUGUUGGUGAGGUAACGGCUCACCAAGGCUUCGAUGCGUAGCCGACCUGAGAGGGUGAUCGGCCACAUUGGAACUGGGACAAGGUCCAGAAGCCUAGGGGAGGCAGCAGUGGGAAAGAUUGCACAAUGGAGGAAACUCUGAUGCAGCAACGCCGCGUGAGUGAUGAAGGGCUUCGGAUUGUAAAGCUCUGUCUUCUGGGACGAUAAUGACGGUACCAGAGGAGGAAGCCACGGGUAACUACGUGCCAGCGGCCGCGGUAA
RNAcentral lists this ribosomal RNA (467 nucleotides) under uncultured bacterium. Its description in RNAcentral is "partial 16S ribosomal RNA". It matches the Rfam family "Bacterial small subunit ribosomal RNA", at positions 28 to 523 of the family's 1533-position model. The record is from RNAcentral.